UCCCACCGGCCGUAACAUUUCUCCCCGUCGUUCCCCAUUCUUCCUUGGUCGUCGCCAGCUCCCUCUCCCCGUCACCUCAGGCCACCCCUCCCCUUCGUACCCACUGCCACCUCGAGAUUCGCAAACCCCUUCUCUUCCCCGCCUUUUCGUCGAAUCCAGCCGCCCAAGUGGCGGAGGAGGUCCCCGAGCUCGGCAUGCACGGGAGCAUCCCAGCGCUAGGCUCCGUCGGAGGUGCGGGACUUCCACGCCCCUGCUCUUCCCCGUCCUUCUUCGAAUCUGCUCGCCGAAGUGCCGAAGGAUGCGCUCGAGCUCAGCAUGCUCACGGGCGACCCAGCGCGGAUGCCCGCAACAAGACAACAAGGAGCGGGCCUGGGUGCGCAAAAAUAUAUGGGCACAGUUCGAUGCCUCCACUGGCGUGCCUUUGUUUGAUGUGCUAUUCAAGAUCCCUGUACAAUUGUGUUAUUCAAGAUACAAUGGCACUCGAUGAUGCUUGCUAAGAAGGUCUGCAGUACCCACUGGACUGUAGCUUGCCAGAUGACUGGAAGAUGGAUAAAAUUUGGACCAUGGCUCGGUAUGGUCAAUUGGAGAAGACAUUACUAUGACUACAAAGAUCUGUUUUUUCAGGUGAUGAAUUGUAACCUUAUAUUCUUUAUUACUUGGAAUUGAAAAUCACUGGAAGC
Molecule: non-coding RNA, 680 nt
Organism: Triticum urartu
Lineage: Eukaryota; Viridiplantae; Streptophyta; Magnoliopsida; Poales; Poaceae
Source: RefSeq, a predicted model, not a curated record